Non-coding RNA from Meleagris gallopavo (turkey), 1588 nucleotides. Lineage: Eukaryota; Metazoa; Chordata; Aves; Galliformes; Phasianidae. The record is from RefSeq and is a predicted model, not a curated record.
CGGGGCUGAGGGUGCGGAGGGAGCCCCUGCGCUGUCCUUGUUAGGGCAAUCCCUGGGUUAGCGGGCUUCUCUCCAUCGCCGUCGCUGCGGACGAUGUGCUCCGCUCGCGAUUUAUUGCAAUUAUAAUGCGAUCGUCCGGAAUUAGGGAGCCCCGAGGGGUGUUAGAGGGAAGGAGGGUGGAAAAAGAGGAUGGCUAGCUUGGGUGCGCUAAGCUUUGGGGAUUUUGCCCUGCAGGGAGGUAAGAGGAAAUAGAAAUUGUUCUCUGCAAACUUUGGGAAGUGCUUUGCUCCAAAGAGAAAUCCUGGUGGUGGUUUGUUUGCUUGUUUGUUUGUUUUUUCAUCUUUGGGAAACUUAAGGAGAGGUUGUAACCUCUGGAAUGGUGGUUUUUGUGUAUGUAUAACAGCCGUGGAACACGUUCUGAGCUGUGAGCUGGAUCCCAAGUGGAGCUGCAAGGAGCUGAUGACCGGUAUCCUUCAUGCUGCCAUGCUUCCUCGUGUGUGUGCUGUGUGGAAGGGGAGGGCAGCCACAGAACCUUACACACACGGCAUGGAGGGGUCACAGGUACUGUGCAGCUGGUACAGCCGCAGGAAAGCGUCCUAAAUAAUACAGACAGGGAGCAAACAGCACUGAAACCAAAGCCCACAGGGGGUCAGGAGAAAGCAAGGUGCAUCGUGGCACCUGGGGUGCAGGUCAAUGAUGCAGUCCCUCUGAUCGCUCUGUAGCCCUAUGAAGCAAAAUCCACCUGCAACAGCAGCAGGCAGCAUCAGAGCUGCACGAUAAAGCUUCCCAAAAAAAGCAGAGUCCCGACCUUAAUCCACACCCCAACCCUGCCAGCAGCCGGGAACCAGAGCACGUCCGUGCUCAGCAUGCAGACUUCUGCACUCAGACAAGGAGGAUUAUGGGCAUCAUAUGACUGACUGCAAUGAUGGUGUGUGCUUAAUUGGUGAAGGGCUGCAUUUUCUAUCUUUAACACAGGACAAAGGGCCAGCGGGCUGCCUCGUGCACAAGGUUCUUUUCAGGUGUUUUCUUCACUGUACUUUACCCAGAGAGCUGUGGAUUCCCCAUCCCUGGAGGUGCUCAGUAUCAGGUUGGAUGGGGCUUUGGAUAACCUGGUCUGGUAGGAGGUGUCUGCCCAUGGAAGGGUUGGAACUGGAUGGGUCCCUUCCAACUCAAUACAUUCGAUGAUUCUGUGAUUCUGUGAUGAUGCUGACACAGCUGAGUGGAGGGCAAGGCAUGAAGCAUCGCUGGGCACAGCGUGUGAGGGCAGUAUUAAAUGCUGCACUCUCUUGGGUGCCUGCCAGCAGAUCCCAUGGGGUUUUGCAGUGUCUGAAGCCCAGGAGUGCAUCAUUCCUUCAAUCAGAACACAUUUGGUUGCUUCCCAUAGCCACGUCCCACCACCCACUUCAGUUACCAACCUAUGUAAAUGAGUGCAGUAUAGGAUCAUAGAAUGGCUUGUGUUGGAAGGGACCUCAAAGCCCAUCUAGUUCCACCCCUCGCUGUGGGCAGGGGCACCUCCAUCCAACCUGGCCUCGAGCACCUCCAGGGAUGGGGCACCUCUCCACUCUCUGAGUAAAGAAUUUCCUGCUAA